Molecule: ribosomal RNA, 693 nt
Filed under: uncultured bacterium
Lineage: Bacteria
Description: bacterial SSU rRNA
Rfam family: Bacterial small subunit ribosomal RNA
Source: RNAcentral
AAUACAACAUAAUGCCGGGAGGGGACAUCCCCUGCCGGCCAAAGGGGGCGACCCCGGUCACGGAUGGGCAUGCGGCGCAUUAGGUAGUUGGUGGGGCAACGGCCCACCAAGCCGACGAUGCGUAGGGGUUCUGAGAGGAAGGUCCCCCACAUUGGAACUGAGACACGGUCCAAACUCCUACGGGAGGCAGCAGUGAGGAAUAUUGGUCAAUGGCCGGAAGGCUGAACCAGCCAAGUCGCGUGAGGGAAUAAGGCCCUACGGGUCGUAAACCUCUUUUGCCAGGGAGCAAUGCCGUCCACGUGUGGACGGAAGGAGAGUACCUGGAGAAAAAGCAUCGGCUAACUCCGUGCCAGCAGCCGCGGUAAUACGGAGGAUGCGAGCGUUAUCCGGAUUUAUUGGGUUUAAAGGGUGCGUAGGCGGCCUGCCAAGUCAGCGGUAAGAUUGCGGGGCUCAACCCCGUACAGCCGUUGAAACUGCCGGGCUCGAGUGGGCGAGAAGUAUGCGGAAUGCGUGGUGUAGCGGUGAAAUGCAUAGAUAUCACGCAGAACCCCGAUUGCGAAGGCAGCAUACCGGCGCCCGACUGACGCUGAGGCACGAAAGUGCGGGGAUCAAACAGGAUUAGAUACCCUGGUAGUCCGCACAGUAAACGAUGAAUGCUAGCUGUCCGGGGGGAUUGACCCCUGGGUGCACAGC